UACGGAGGGUGCAAGCGUUGUCCGGAUUUAUUGGGUUUAAAGGGUGCGUAGGUGGUUUGAUAAGUCCGGGGUGAAAGCCCGUCGCUCAACGACGGAACUGCCCUGGAUACUGUCAGACUUGAGGGUAGACGAGGUUGGCGGAAUAGAAGGUGUAGCGGUGAAAUGCAUAGAUACCUUCUAGAACCCCGAUUGCGUAGGCAGCUGACUAGGCUACACCUGACACUGAGGCACGAAAGCGUGGGGAGCGAACAGG
RNAcentral lists this ribosomal RNA (253 nucleotides) under uncultured bacterium. RNAcentral's name for it is "partial 16S ribosomal RNA". It matches the Rfam family "Bacterial small subunit ribosomal RNA", at positions 524 to 776 of the family's 1533-position model. The record is from RNAcentral.